RNAcentral lists this ribosomal RNA (558 nucleotides) under Chaetoceros sporotruncatus. RNAcentral describes it as "partial large subunit ribosomal RNA". It matches the Rfam family "Eukaryotic large subunit ribosomal RNA", at positions 45 to 603 of the family's 3401-position model. The record is from RNAcentral. Lineage: Eukaryota; Bacillariophyta; Thalassiosirophyceae; Chaetocerotales; Chaetocerotaceae.
AUUAAGCGGAGGAAAAGAAAAUAACUAUGAUUCCCUCAGUAAGGGCGACUGAAGCGGGAAAAGCUCAUUCUGUGAAUCUGUAUACUAUUUUGGUAUACCGAGUUGUAGACUACAAAAAAACAUCAGUGCGAGUUCUGGUCUAAGUCUCUUGGAAAAGAGCAGCUUAGAGGGUGACACUCCCGUUCUUGGCUGGAACUCAAACUUUAGUAUGUUUUAUUUAAGAGUCAAGUUGCUUGGGAUUGCAGCUUAAAGUUGGUGGUAAAUUCCAUCUAAAGCUAAAUAUCGGUGGGAGACCGAUAGCGUACAAGUACCGUGAGGGAAAGAUGCAAAGAACUUUGAAAAAAGAGUUAAAGAGUACCUGAAAUUGCUGAAAUGGAAGCAAAGGAAACCAGUGCCGUUCUGUACCAUUCUUCUGUUCUUGCUUGCGAGAAUAGCGCUGUGGUUCAGUACAAGCCAGCGUGGGUUCGAUUCGGAGGAAGCAGCUUUGCAGGAGGCAGCAUAAUUUCUAUGCGAUUACUGUUUAGUUUUGCUCCGGAUUGGACUGAGGCUAGUCACUUG